Molecule: transfer RNA, 76 nt
Filed under: Betaproteobacteria bacterium
Lineage: Bacteria; Pseudomonadati; Pseudomonadota; Betaproteobacteria
Description: tRNA-Lys
Rfam family: tRNA
About the family: Transfer RNA (tRNA) molecules are approximately 80 nucleotides in length. Their secondary structure includes four short double-helical elements and three loops (D, anti-codon, and T loops).
Source: RNAcentral
UGGCGCGAGACUCAACCGGUCGAGUAGCGGAUUCUUAAUCCGAAGGUUGUGAGUUCGAAUCUCACCGCGCCAACCA